This 253-nucleotide ribosomal RNA is filed under the name uncultured bacterium. RNAcentral's name for it is "partial 16S ribosomal RNA". It matches the Rfam family "Bacterial small subunit ribosomal RNA", at positions 524 to 776 of the family's 1533-position model. The record is from RNAcentral.
UACAUGGGGUGCAAACGUUGCUCGGAAUUAUUGGGCGUAAAGCGCGCGUAGGCGGUUACUUAAGUCGGAUGUGAAAGCCCUCGGCUUAACUGAGGAAGUGCACCCGAAACUGAGUAGCUAGAGUACGAAAGAGGGUCGCGGAAUUCCCGGUGUAGAAGUGAAAUUCGUAGAUAUCGGGAGGAACACCGGUGGCGAAGGCGGCGACCUGGGUCGAGACUGACGCUGAGGCGCGAAAGCGUGGGGAGCAAACAGG